RNAcentral lists this transfer RNA (74 nucleotides) under Pseudomonadota bacterium. RNAcentral's name for it is "tRNA-Met". It matches the Rfam family "tRNA". From Rfam's summary of the family: Transfer RNA (tRNA) molecules are approximately 80 nucleotides in length. Lineage: Bacteria; Pseudomonadati; Pseudomonadota. The record is from RNAcentral. RNAcentral also lists the same sequence under 1 other name.
GCCGAGGUAGCUCAGUCGGUUAGAGCAGCGGAAUCAUAAUCCGCGUGUCGGGGGUUCGAAUCCCUCCCUCGGCA